This is an RNA transcript of Seriola aureovittata, 2193 nucleotides long. It is a transcript of the gene named low affinity immunoglobulin gamma Fc region receptor II-like, with no coding region annotated. The transcript has 9 exons. NCBI's taxonomy places the organism in Eukaryota, Metazoa, Chordata, Actinopteri, Carangiformes, Carangidae. The record is from RefSeq and is a predicted model, not a curated record.
ACCGCUGCAGCAGCUCUGUCGCGUUGAAGCAGUUUUCAGAUUUAAACACAAAAUUAGUGCUGCUGCUCAGACAGACAACAGCAAGACAACAUGGAGGUCACAGCUCUCUGCUGCAGACUGUUGAUGACUGUGACGAUCCUGCUUUGUGAACAUGAUCAGAAAGUUGUUGCAGUUUCUCUUCGUAUCGAUCCAAACAGACUGCAGUUCUUCGAAUAUGAGCGUGUAACUUUUACCUGCGAGGGGCUCUUUGAUUGUAAAGUUGGACGUAGACCCAAAAGCAACAUAUCAACAUCAUCCUGCAACUUUACAUCUGUAUAUUCAGACGACAGUGGGGAGUACUGGUGUGAGGCUGGAUUUGGGAAUAGAAGCAACAGUAUAAACAUCACUGUCACUGCGGGUUCUGUGAUCCUGGAGAGUCCCGCUCUUCCUGUGACGGAGGGAGACAAUGUGACUCUGCGCUGCAGAAACAAGACGCCCGCCUCAGACCUCACAGCUGGUUUCUAUAAAGAUGGCGUCUUCAUUAGGAACAGCACUACAGGAAAAAUGACCAUCCACAAUGUUUCCAAGUCUAACGAAGGACUCUACAAGUGCAACAUCUCUGGAGCUGGAGAGUCAGCAGAGAGCUGGCUGACUGUCAGAGUUUCAGAGCAUUUCCCCGUCAAACAUCCGCUUUCCUCCAAUUCCACACCAUGGAUCAUAGUUGCUGUUGUUUUGGUGGUUCAGCUGUUGGUGUUUGGACUGUGUCACUCUCACAAAAAUUACUGGGACAGAGAUGAGAAUGAAUUUAUGUCUACACACUGUUACUACGUCCUGGGCCAGGAUGACGCUCAAGAGCCGGCAGAACCAGGAGCGUCCAGUAUCACAGCCUCAUCAGUUCCCUCAGCAGGUACCAACCCACCUGUAGAAGGAAAGGUCUUCUACUCUGUAGUCAAGAAGGUCACUGAGAGAGAAUGACUGGAGGAGGAGAAGACACAUUCACAGUUUCACUCACUCAACCUAAAUUAGCAACGUUGUGACGUGAGUGCAAGCGGCGAGCAGAACAGGCAUGCUGGCUCCUGCUCUCUCCUCUCGGUUCUUCAAAGGGCAACAAGGCCCCAGCCCAGGUCAGCUUUGCUACCUGAGAAACCAGCUCUCUCGCCGGCCUGCUACCAGCAGCCUGCAAACACUCUUCUCCUCAACAGCAGCGACCUGCUUCGGAUUAACUGUGAGUGAACCAAGUUCUCUUCAGAAUCAGCAGCUACAACACAAGGCCAGCUGAUUUUCAAAGCAACAGGAGUCCUAGCAGAGUUAGCGUGGAACAGCUAACUCUGUGAGGAGAACAAAAGAGAUACCAGCAAGCAACACAGCCAGACAGGACUUUACUCCACCAGGAAACCUCCCAACUCACUGGACUUUACAACAACAGUGGAAAGGACCUAUUUGCUUGUUCCAAGGACUGGGUAACGUUAACUGACUGGGCCUAACCUUUCCCAGCACAGCAUAGCUAAGCAGCAGAAGUCUUAACUUUGGUAAUGUACUUGUUGAUUGAUGUCUUGUUGUUGUAAUGUUUGCUUAGGUUGUGGUCAGUCAUACAGUUAAUCGGGUACUCGUAUGUUCACACACAUAGUAGUAAGUCUCAGUUCUAGAACCUGCAUGAAGCUAACCUUCCCCCUCUAACCUGGUACAUUUAGAUUACAUGAGCUAGGCUAACAAAGAAACUCACACCUUCCCUCCCACACACACACCAGGUGGUCUCAGCAGCCAUUUUGAGUAGUUUCUUUGUUCAGGUCAUGUGUUCACAGUGACCACUUUGAAUCGGCCAGCUUGCCUUUGUUUGUGUCCCCACAGACACACACACAUACACCUACACACACACACAUACAGUCACCUGUAUAUACUAGAUUAGAUAUUGUGUUUUACUCUGCUCUAUUGUAAAUAAAUGUCUUUAAGUAUAACUACUGGUGUAUUGCACAAGCGUGAAUAUUGCCAACCUCUAUUUUGUAGAAUUCCAAUCCUUCAACUUUAACUUACUGUUGAUAUGGUAAUUUGGUUAUAGUUAAUAAGCUACUUGUUCAUCAAAGUUCCAGAUUAAUGGUAUUAAAUUGAGACUGAAACAAUAUUGGCUAUUUUGCCUAUUAGCUUAGGCUGGUGCCCCGAGGACUUUAAUUAAUUUUAAAGUUAUUAUUUAACAUUAAUAUUUUUAGUUAAUUUAUG